GGUCCCUAUCUGUUGUGGGCGUUGGAAAUUUGAGAGGAUCUGACUUUAGUACGAGAGGACCGAGUUGGACGAACCUCUAGUGUACCAGUUGUUUUGCCAAGAGCAUCGCUGGGUAGCUAUGUUCGGAAAGGAUAAGUGCUGAAAGCAUCUAAGUACGAAACCUGCCUCAAGAUUAGAUUUCCUUAUAGGGAGGUUGAAGAUUACGACCUUGAUAGGUUACAGGUGUAAAGGCAGUAAUGUCAAAGCCGAGUAAUACUAAUAACCCGAAAUCUUUCCUCAA
Molecule: ribosomal RNA, 280 nt
Filed under: Bacteroidales bacterium
Lineage: Bacteria; Pseudomonadati; Bacteroidota; Bacteroidia; Bacteroidales
Description: partial 23S ribosomal RNA
Rfam family: Bacterial large subunit ribosomal RNA
Source: RNAcentral